RNAcentral lists this long non-coding RNA (813 nucleotides) under Zostera marina. RNAcentral describes it as "long non-coding RNA (ZMAR_LNC001118)". The record is from RNAcentral. Lineage: Eukaryota; Viridiplantae; Streptophyta; Magnoliopsida; Alismatales; Zosteraceae.
CCAGUGUAAAUGAAGUAAAUAGUUUACUCUAUUAGGAUUUACAUAGUAACUAGUAUUGGCGAACAAUUGACUAUUUUCUCAGUGGAUUCCAGACCCACCACAAUAACAGAGGCUGACUAAUUUCCUUAGUCAAUAAUUAUCAUCGUAACAGAGCUCACCACAGGUAAACAUAUUUAUGAUCCAAGCUUUAAUUUUUACAGAUUGUUUGUCAAUUAUUUUCAACUUCAAGAUUAAUAUCUUGACCAUAUUGACAUACUAAUACAUACUAAAAACAAGCACACGACAGAUUGACAAUGAAAACGUUUUAUAUAUUUCAUUUAAUAUGAACUUAGGAGGAGAGGCUUUGGAUAGCAAGCAAUAUUUUUAAGACUCGUACUAUUCAUUUUUCACAGUUCACACUAUCUAAAAACAAACAAAAUAUAUCAUUGUGAAUUUGUGAUUCUUCCAAAGGUCAGAAUUGAGUGGGAAAAAAACAUAUUCUGUAAAAUCUAAAUAAGGAGCUUUUACAAGCCAUAUUCUGUAAAAUCUAAAAUCUUCAUCAGAUUGAAUUGCAAGCCAUAUCGUUAUGGGAAUCCAACCUCUUGAAGCAUAAGUCUAUUGCUACAUUGCCGGUGACAUAGCUAUAUAAGAGAGUGACAAUGCAACUACAUGUUUUUAUGUUCUCAUUUAUGCAGGUUUUUAUGUUCUCAUUCUAUGUUCUCAUUUAUGCAGGUUUUUAUGUUCUCAUUCUAUGUUCUCAUUUAUGCAUGUUUUACAUUUCCCUACAAUGUAAUAGGGCAAUGUCCACCAUCACUUUUUCACUAAUGAAAUAUU